CAAACCGUAGUUUAGUAAAAAUCUUAACAUUGGAAGUUAAAGAUUGGGUGAUACCCACGUUUUGA
RNAcentral lists this transfer RNA (65 nucleotides) under Cymbium olla (pot-bellied volute). RNAcentral's name for it is "tRNA-Pro". The record is from RNAcentral. Lineage: Eukaryota; Metazoa; Mollusca; Gastropoda; Neogastropoda; Volutidae.